This is a long non-coding RNA of Bradysia coprophila, 3514 nucleotides long. NCBI's taxonomy places the organism in Eukaryota, Metazoa, Arthropoda, Insecta, Diptera, Sciaridae. The record is from RefSeq and is a predicted model, not a curated record.
AAAAAUUUUUUUAAUAAAAAAAAAAAAAGAUUUUUAAUGAAACAAAAUUUCGCUAUCAAAUCAGAUAUGAUCUGUUUACUAUUAAUAAAGAAAAAAAAAAUAUUCCGAUUGCAAUUGACAGUAAAACUGAUUUAAAUUUAAAUUUAAAGAAAAAACAAAAUGUCUGUGGUGUUUCUCCUAGAGAAAAAAUAUUUUCAAUUUAUUUAUAUUUUUGCUAAUAAUUCUACGGUUUAUUAUGGCUACAAGUAAUCGAAAUGUAUCAAACCAAAUAAUUUUGGAAGAAAGAAAAGAAAUGUCAGUUGAAUUGAUAUGUGAUGCGCUUUCAUUAAUUUUUAGUUGCGAUUCUAUGAUAUUCACACCGUAAGUGCGCUUCAGAAUUUAAAUUUUCGGAUGAAUCAAUAGAUGAACAAAUUAACUGAAACCUAAAUUUCCAACGCACUCUAUACGAAAGUAUCGUCUCUGUAGUCCUUGUCAAUUUUCAUUUUUAAGCGCACUUGCGACGUCAAUAUUGCCGCUUAAAUUUAAUGCCAAUAUUUUCGUUAUCGUUGGUAAACAAAAGCUUUAUUACUGGCAAAAAUAUCCGACAUCGUAUUCAAUUUUAUCGUUUCUAUUUGAGCCCCCAUCUAUGCCAGUUCGGACAAUUAUAAUAAUCGAAAACGAAAUCUUUGAAGAGAGACCAAAUACUAGAAUAUUAUUUUCGAAUUAAAAGAAAAAUCGGUACCCUACCAUCGCAUGAGAAGCCAAAAAGAGAAAGAAAGAAGAAAGAUUCGUAAUCGUGAAUAUGCAUAAGGACCAAACAGAUUUAUGUUUUUGUACGAAAGCUUAAGUUGACAUAACGGAUGGAUGAUGCUCGGGAUGAUGUGACAAUCCACACGUAAACGAACUUUACUCGAAAAAUGCAAACAAAGGACAUUGGAUGAGCGGGGCAGCUGGAAUUUUUUUUUGCUCGCUCAGAGUCUGUCCUAUUUUUUAAUUAUUACCAUAGCACUGCUCCUAGCAUUAACACGCUGCAUUAUACACAGCCUCCAAUCUGGAGGCUAAAGUGAUGAGAGCUACCGCUUAAGAUUGUUUGUACUGUGUGUUUUAACUCAUACAACGAAAGCAAGUUCACGGAAGAAACAAAGAUCAUAAUAUACUGUGAUUAGGAGAGUUACAUGGCACUGUUUUCACUGAUCACAGUUUUUUUUUGUAAAUUCGCUUAAAAUUGUUUUACUCUUUCAAGAACCGCACACUCAUUUCUAGAAAAGAAAAGGAACAGAUCUGCACAUGGAAAACUCGUUGAAAACGUUUCUGUCUUUUCAUAGUGCCUGCGAGAAAAUUUCUUUACUCAUGUGGGUGUAGUUUCGAGCCAAGGGCGAGGGAUAUAAUCCCCAGAGUGAGUAACUUUAUCACGCGCUGUCAUGUAAAAUCAAUUUUUACACUGUUUUGAAGUUCGAAAGCGUCUUUAACCGAAUAUGUUGGUUUUGUUUGGGUCUGUGAAAAAUCACAAUGCGUUUUAAAUUAAUUUAAUUUACGUUUUAGAAGCCUUAUGCACGUCACGAAUGAUCUUCUUUUUCGUUUCCAAAGUUUUGUUUGUUAUCAAAUGGCAUAACAUUCUAGUGUUGAUGUGAUAUAUAAAAAACAGAAUUUUAUUUUAAAUGAAAAAACGUAAAAAUUGAAAAAUAAAAAUUCGUCAAAUUUAGAAAAUGUUAGAUCGAUUAAAAAAAAAUAUGUGAAAAAAACAACAAAAAAAUUUACUAAAUGUUCGUAGUGAAAAAUAAACAAAAAAAAAUUAUUUAAGGUGCAAAUUUGCCGUUAUAAACUAUAUCGUAAACGUGAACGCUUUUCAAAAAAACAAAAAUAAAAAAAGAAACAAAAAUUUAUAAAUGUAAGAGAUGCGAGAAUGUCGAGAAAAUUAGUUGUCGGAAAAACUUGAAGCGAUUAGAUUCAAAAAAUAAAAAACAAAUUAUCGGUAAUUUCAAACGUCUACGGUAAACCUUCGGUUCGUCUUUUCAUAUUAUAGUAUAGUAAAAUCCAUAAUCAAACCUUCAAACGACUCGUUGCAUUAUGUAUUUCGAUAUUUUUUUUAAAAUUCCUUUUCUGAAAAUUAGAUUGGAUGAUCGGAGAGCUGCGACCAUUUAUCUGGCUGUUCUAUUCGAAAUUCAGUUUUCGAAUUUUGUCGAUCUUUAUCGAACGAACAAAAAUCUAAACUUAAGUGAUUAAAUUGGUUAUGCACAUGGGAGGGGACACCACAAUUUUAUCUGAACUCCGUCUAACAAAAGUCAAUGAUAAAAAUCUGUUUCGGAAGUUACACCUCAAUGAAAUGUUAAGACUGACCUCUCAUUUCGUGGGAGACAUUGUCUGCAUAAAAUUUCUUUUUGGAAACAAAUUUUCCCCGUUUGUUCAGCAAUGCAAAUUACGGACAAUCGGAUUCGACAAUAAUUUUAGAACAGUCGUUAUAUCGAUCAUCAACUAAUAAAGAGCGUUUUUAGCAUGUUCGCACAAAAGGGAAGUCCACCCAUAAAAAUUAAUUUCUAAACCCACUGAACAUUGUAAUCGUUCGGUGAAAAUCCAUUUCCACAAAAUAGUCGAUGGUUAAAAUGAUGAAGACGAUUGCUCGCCGUUCUACAGCGGAUAUCGUCUGGAUAGGUUGGAACAAAAAUUGGGAAUAAAAUAUUGGAAUUUCUCAAAAAUUUCAUCAAUUUUACAUAAUUGCGGAUCGGAAAUCGUUCUUCUCAUGUACUUGCGACGACCUUAUCGCGUAAGAUCCGUUACAAAGCUGAGUAUAAAAGUUGAAAAGUCCCAAUUUCAUAUGUUAACUGACCUCAGUUUCGCCUCGGCUCAACAAAAUUCACACGAAAACUGGACUUUCAUCUUUUGUUCCUGGUUCUGAAAGUGACGACUAAGAAGAAAGUAGAGAAAUGGAUUCUUGCGUUCGUCAAAUCAUCCAAUACUAAAUUGAAUUUCAGUUUUUGUGAUAAAAAAUUACGAAAUCCAAACUAUUUAUUCACAAUUUUUCGUUAGAAAAAAACCUAUUUACAAUUUUAUCAAAGCUAAGGAUAACGUAACCUCGUCUCGUAACUAUAUCUUUUUAACGGAGAGAAGAAGCAAAAAAAAAGUUACGUUUAGUCCAGAGAGCGUCUGGAUUCCACACGAAACGCUGACAGAAUAAAACUUUAUAAAAAAAAUGUAAUAAACAAAACGUAAAAAUAAAAAAAACGAAAAUGAAUUUGAAAAAAAAGCAAAGAAAAUUUAAUUUUAAUUCCACGAGAUGGUAAACGAUUGAGCGCGCGCAUUGCUAGUUGUAAUAAUCAAUUCAAUAAAUUGCGAAUUACUAUAUAUUUAUGUCGAAAAAUAGAAAGUGAAAAAGUUACUACCAGAAGAAGAAAGAGGAAAAAAUACAAAAAAAUGAUGAAAUAAGUAAAUGUACCUAUCUAUAUUACCUAUCUAUAUAUACAAAGUGUAUGUUAAAAACAAAUCAUAUAAUGAAAACCGUGUAUUUUUGUCGAAAUUAAUAAAUGUAUGCAACACUUAA